UACGUAGGGGGCUAGCGUUGUUCGGACUUACUGGGCGUAAAGCGCGUGUAGGUGGUUGUCCAAGUUGGAUGUGAAAGCCUUGAGCUCAACUCAAGAAAUGCAUUCAGGACUGGAUGGCUAGAGGACCGGAGAGGAUAGUGGAAUUCCCAGUGUAGUGGUGAAAUACGUAGAGAUUGGGAAGAACACCAGUGGCGAAGGCGGCUAUCUGGACGGUUUCUGACACUAAGACUCGAAAGCGUGGGGAGCAAACAGG
This 253-nucleotide ribosomal RNA is filed under the name uncultured bacterium. RNAcentral describes it as "partial 16S ribosomal RNA". It matches the Rfam family "Bacterial small subunit ribosomal RNA", at positions 524 to 776 of the family's 1533-position model. The record is from RNAcentral.